CUCCCUUGAGGCAGCCCUCUCCCUCCCGUCUCUCCCGUUCUUCCUCGUUUGAAGUUUCGGAGGCGCUUGGCGAAGCCCUACUGGCACUGCUCCACCACCAUCUCCACCAUGCUUUCAUGUUGGUCGAUAUGUCAUCUACUUCUCCUCCCUCGCUUGCUUGAUCAAGGAGGCGGAGACGUUAUCGAGCCGCACUUGUGCUGAACGUGGAGGUGUCGUCCGAUGGUAGAUUGGGACAAAUCGUGAUUAGAUCGUGAAGACGUACGACUACAUCAACCUCAUUAUAUACGCUUCCGCUUAGCGAUCUACAAGA
RNAcentral lists this long non-coding RNA (310 nucleotides) under Hordeum vulgare. RNAcentral describes it as "long non-coding RNA (HVUL_LNC007388)". The record is from RNAcentral. Lineage: Eukaryota; Viridiplantae; Streptophyta; Magnoliopsida; Poales; Poaceae.